Non-coding RNA from Pelobates cultripes (western spadefoot toad), 233 nucleotides. Lineage: Eukaryota; Metazoa; Chordata; Amphibia; Anura; Pelobatidae. The record is from the annotation of a GenBank genome assembly.
GUUUGAUCGGGGUGGUAUACCACCGGAAUAGUGUUUUAUACGCCUGCUCCUGAAGUGUUAUGCAUAUGGAUACUUUUGAGCAUGCUUCCCAUAUAUCUUGCCAGUCUGUCCCUUCCAGGGUUUCUCCCAGAUCUGCCUCCUAUCUGUCCGUGUAAUGUAGCUUAUCCCAUUCCCCGGAUUCCGCCCCUAUGUGGCUGUACAGUAGUGAGAUCAGUUUAGCGGGCAUGUGUUCU